RNAcentral lists this ribosomal RNA (119 nucleotides) under Pteropus alecto (black flying fox). The record is from RNAcentral. Lineage: Eukaryota; Metazoa; Chordata; Mammalia; Chiroptera; Pteropodidae.
GUCUACGGCCAUGCUACCCUGAACAAGCCUGAUCCUGUCUGAUCUCAGAAGCUAAGCAGGGUCAGGCCUGGUUAGUACUUGGAUUGGAGACCACCUAGGAAGACCAGGUAAUAUAAGCA